UGGGGAAUAUUGGACAAUGGGCGCAAGCCUGAUCCAGCAAUGCCGCGUGAGUGAUGAAGGCCUUAGGGUUGUAAAGCUCUUUCGCACGCGACGAUGAUGGCGGUAGCGUGAGAAGAAGCCCCGGCUAACUUCGUGCCAGCAGCCGCGGUAAUACGAAGGGGGCUAGCGUUGUUCGGAAUUACUGGGCGUAAAGGGCGCGUAGGCGGCCUGUUUAGUCAGAAGUGAAAGCCCCGGGCUCAACCUGGGAAUAGCUUUUGAUACUGGCAGGCUUGAGUUCCGGAGAGGAUGGUGGAAUUCCCAGUGUAGAGGUGAAAUUUCGUAGAUAUUGGGAAGAACACCGGUGGCGAAGGCGGCCAUCUGGACGGACACUGACGCUGAGGCGCGAAAAGCGUGGGGAGCAAACAGGGAUUAGAUACCCUGGUAGUCCACGCCGUAAACGAUGAAUGCUAGACGUCGGGGUGCAUGGCACUUUCGGUGUCGCCGCUAAACGCAUUAAGCAUUCCGCCUGGGGGAGUACGGCCGCAAGG
RNAcentral lists this ribosomal RNA (527 nucleotides) under uncultured bacterium. Its description in RNAcentral is "partial 16S ribosomal RNA". It matches the Rfam family "Bacterial small subunit ribosomal RNA", at positions 355 to 893 of the family's 1533-position model. The record is from RNAcentral.